Molecule: transfer RNA, 73 nt
Filed under: Laurus azorica
Lineage: Eukaryota; Viridiplantae; Streptophyta; Magnoliopsida; Laurales; Lauraceae
Description: tRNA-Asn
Source: RNAcentral
CAUGAAUCGAGAUCCAGUAAAGGAGGUCUUCGAAUCACUGACUCAAACCCAUUGGCGAAUCCUACUCAGCGGA